AUUGAACGCUGGCGGCAGGCCUAACACAUGCAAGUCGAGCGGAUGAAGGGAGCUUUCUCUUGGAUUCAGCGGCGGACGGGUGAGUAAUGCCUAGGAAUCUCCCUGGUAGUGGGGGAUAACGUCCGUAAACGGGCGCUAAUACCGCAUCCGACCUGAGGGUGAAAGUUGGGGUUCUUUGGACCUUACGCUAUCAGAUGAUCCUAGGUCGGAUUAGCUAGUUGGUGGGGUAAAGGCCUACCAAGGCGACGAUCCGUAACUGGUCUGAGAGGAUGAUCAGUCACACUGGAACUGAGACACGGUCCAGACUCCUACGGGAGGCAGCAGUGGGGAAUAUUGGACAAUGGGCGAAAGCCUGAUCCAGCCAGGCCGCGUGUGUGAAGAAGGUCUUCGGAUUGUAAAGCACUUUAAGUUGGGAGGAAGGGCAGUAAGUUAAUACCUUGCUGUUUUGACGGUACCAACAGAAUAAGCACCGGCUAACUUCGUG
Molecule: ribosomal RNA, 484 nt
Filed under: uncultured bacterium
Lineage: Bacteria
Description: partial 16S ribosomal RNA
Rfam family: Bacterial small subunit ribosomal RNA
Source: RNAcentral